GCCUAAAAUCACUCAUCUCUUCAAAGUCCCUGGCAUGAGCUACCCAUCACUGUCUUAUGCUCAGUGACCCAGGACCACCUAUGAGCAUCUGGGCCCAAGAGAUGAUCUCAAACUUUUCACAAUUAUUUCAGGUAUCAACAAGAUGGAAAUAAAGCCAAAAGCUGUGCUGAGAUUCAACCAUCAACAUCCCAAAAGGAAUAUUCUGUUUCCCAGCAUUUCUUGCCAAGGAUGAUCUCAGAUUCGUCUGUUUCCAUUCACUAAUAACAACAACAGCAAUGACAACAAUGCUAAUAGCGCUCCAACAGAGCUUGCUGUGUGCCCAGCCCUGUUCGAAGUGCUCCCCAACUUUGGCCCCUAGGAUGCUCAGGACGGCCCUCUGAGCAGGCACUGAUGUCGUCCCCCUCACAUGCAGAGAAACCAAGACAUGAGCGUGGUCAGGUCGUUCGUGCAGAGCCACCGGGCUGGGGAUGGGCAGAGCUGGAGUGUGUGGGCACAGGAUCGGGGUUUGUCACCACUGUGCUGCACUGCCUCUGCACCCCAACUAGGCCUCACGCUGAUGGAGACAUCGCAGUGCAUGGGAGAACAUUCACUGCGUGGUGCUGAGGACGCAGCAGGCACUCGGUACAACCUGUUCCUUGCGUGGCCCGCUAGCUUUGGGUCCCAAAAUAAUCUGCCUCCUGAAUCUGCAACUUUCUCCCCACCUGCUGGGCAUUCUCUUAAUUCAACCGAAGCCUCUCCCUGUCCCCAUUAGGACGGCCACUCCCAACAGGAGUUCCCGGCCUGUGAAGGCCAACCGGUCGGGGCUCAGCACCCCAUUAUCAUUCUGCCACUUUCCAAAGGAAAUUAUAAGCACUUUGUGUCAACCCUCAUCUGUCCCGGCAGCCGCACCGCAGGAAAGCGAUUGAGGUCAGAGAAGGCAGACAGCCUACCCAUCACACCCGCCGCGGCCAUUCCUCAUGUAGUGACAUGCAAUCUCCCGCCAAGGGUCACCUCUGGGGAAGCGAUUCCUUCAAGCCUAGAACAAGUGCCGAAUUGCAGCUUUGCCGAAUGAUCAUGUGGAACACAUUGAAAAUAGCCGCCUCAGUAAUAAAUGCUUAACCAAAGCAGCCCCUUCCUCCGGCAUAACCAGGAGCAUAUUUACUGUAAAUAUGUUAACCAAUUCAUGCUGCAGCACAUGGCCGAGGAGUCAGCUUCCCAGGCAGCAAAGAGCAAACCCCCGCUGGGCUGAGAAGGAGCAAGCCGCAAAGGAGAGGAUUGUGUCCGCCAGGAAAAGGAAGAGGCAGGAAAAGGCACCUGGGACAGAGGAGCCUCCUGCAGGCCCCACAGCCCCACCCGACAGAGGAGUGGCGAGAAGGGGACUUGGCAUUCUGCAUCUUGCCGUCACCUCUGUGCCCCACGGAAUCUGUGAGUUAAGACUGGCUCCAAGAGAA
This is a long non-coding RNA of Homo sapiens (human), 1430 nucleotides long. Ensembl annotates it as long intergenic non-protein coding RNA 2554. The record is from Ensembl. Lineage: Eukaryota; Metazoa; Chordata; Mammalia; Primates; Hominidae.